GUAGGUUCAGCUCCAGAGGGCCCGAAUCAGCUGAGCGCCACCCUCCACCAUCCCAGUCCGCGGCCGGGGGGCCGAGGGGGGCGCUCUCUUUCUCCUGCCGAUGCCGUGCCUUUCCGUCCUUCUCCUCUUCGGCUCGGCGGUCGUUGGCGGCGGCGCGUUUAUUUUCAUUCAUUCAUUUGCCUGGCUCCUUUCACUCGGCCCGUCGUGCCCGAACCGAACCCAAUUCCGAGUCCAACUGGGCCGCGCGCACGCCGCACCGUCGGUUCAUUAGUCCGAAAUCAGUGGUUCGCCCUUCGCCGUGGGAAUAUGUGCCCGUCCGCGUCCGAGCUCCGACCGCCACCGCCGACCGAGAUCCACUCAUCGCUCCUCCCAGCGCCUCCUGACACCCCCUCAACCGAGCCCUCUCAACCCCAACGGAGCCCACCCUCUCCCUCUUAUCCAAUUAUCAAGUCGAUAAGCUCAACUUAAACAUCGUUCGCUGGUGAUUCACUUCGGUAAGUGUUCCAAAAUUCAAAACCUUUCAACCGCAGUACCAUUAUCACCAGAUCGAAUCGUGGCUCUGAUCACGACCUCGCCUUAUUAAGUGCAUAAUCGUACUUUUUGCUUGACUAAGUUGAAUAAGCUCAAUUUGAAAAUUGUUCGUAAGUGGCCCGCUUUGGUGCGUGUUACAAAUUUCGGAUCCGAGGAAAGGAGGUUACAGCCGACUCGGUGUGCGGUGCCUUAAAGAGAGAUUCUCUCGCCACGUCUCGCGUCAAAGACUGUUCUUACCGACUGCUGAGCUUUCAUUCUGAUUCGGCUCUGAUCCUCCUCGUUUCAAUAAAUUUGUGAUAGUGUGUCUGGGCCUCUGUAUAGCGUGCUACCUUUGCACACAGAGCCAACGAUCUCCUUUUGAGUCAGUGAUCGAAGGGGCAGCUGACUUGAAUCAAUCGGUGGUGGACGGCGGUUGGUCGAUUGGGACGGCCCAAGAUGCCCGAUGGUUGUCCGCUGACGAGCGACAUCAACAACAACAACCGGAGUGGAAGCGGCCACGGCAACUGCAGCCGCUGCGCCAGCAACGCUUGCGGCAACACCAAGUGCAACAGCGGGGCCUGCUAUGGCCAAACGCCCGGCGCCGCCCAUCAAAACGGCGGCGGCUCAGCUUACGCGGGUGCCGCCUCGCAGGGAGGGGGCGUGGGGGGUCGCAACAACGCAUGCGGCGGUGCCGGGUCCGGUAUGGGAUCUUCGGGCAAGAGAGUCCAGGUCACGGCGAAAAUCCUCUUCGGCUCUGUCUCGGCGAUAUCCAACAUGAAGCAUUCGGAGAAGCUCCACAGAAAGAGGUCCCAGUAA
RNAcentral lists this long non-coding RNA (1326 nucleotides) under Bemisia tabaci. Its description in RNAcentral is "lncRNA ENSSSA3NGG007426". Lineage: Eukaryota; Metazoa; Arthropoda; Insecta; Hemiptera; Aleyrodidae. The record is from RNAcentral.